RNAcentral lists this transfer RNA (85 nucleotides) under Coniochaeta sp. 2T2.1. It matches the Rfam family "tRNA". From Rfam's summary of the family: Transfer RNA (tRNA) molecules are approximately 80 nucleotides in length. Lineage: Eukaryota; Fungi; Ascomycota; Sordariomycetes; Coniochaetales; Coniochaetaceae. The record is from Rfam by way of RNAcentral.
GCCCGCUUGGCUCAGUGGUAAAGCGUCUCACUCGUAUGCGAUAUCUGAAAUGAGAAGAUCAUCAGUUCAAUUCUGAUAGUGGGCA